RNAcentral lists this ribosomal RNA (232 nucleotides) under uncultured eukaryote. Its description in RNAcentral is "partial 18S ribosomal RNA". It matches the Rfam family "Eukaryotic small subunit ribosomal RNA", at positions 1299 to 1458 of the family's 1831-position model. The record is from RNAcentral.
UGGUGGAGUGAUUUGUCUGGUUUAUUCCGAUAACGAACGAGACCUCAGCCUGCUAAAUAGUUCCGUCAACCGUUCGCUUAUGAGUGAAAGCGCGGUAUGCCUUUACGGUCCCCUGGGCUGUGAAGCGAACGCGUGGGAUCUUUGAUUGGUUGGGCGUCGUUGGUCAAACAACGUAAGAACUUCUUAGAGGGACUAUUCUGUGUUUAACGAUUGGAAGUUUGAGGCAAUAACA